UACAGAGGGUGCUAGCGUUAAUCGGAAUUACUGGGCGUAAAGGGCGCGUAGGCGGUGAGAUAUGUGUGAUGUGAAAGCCCUGGGCUUAACCUAGGAAGUGCAUCGCAAACUGUCUCGCUGGAGUAUAUGAGAGGGUGGCGGAAUUUCCGGUGUAGCGGUGAAAUGCGUAGAGAUCGGAAGGAACGUCGAUGGCGAAGGCAGCCACCUGGCAUAAUACUGACGCUGAGGCGCGAAAGCGUGGGGAGCGAACAGGAUUAGAUACCCUGGUAGUCCACGCUGUAAACGAUGAGUACUAAAUGUUGGUAGGGGAACCUAUCGGUAUUGAAGUUAACACGAUAAGUACUCCGCCUGGGAAGUACGGCCGCAAGGUUGAA
This 374-nucleotide ribosomal RNA is filed under the name uncultured bacterium. RNAcentral describes it as "bacterial SSU rRNA". It matches the Rfam family "Bacterial small subunit ribosomal RNA", at positions 524 to 898 of the family's 1533-position model. The record is from RNAcentral.